Molecule: long non-coding RNA, 2108 nt
Filed under: Solanum tuberosum (potato)
Lineage: Eukaryota; Viridiplantae; Streptophyta; Magnoliopsida; Solanales; Solanaceae
Description: long non-coding RNA (STUB_LNC003843)
Source: RNAcentral
AAUUAUUUACGUUACGUUGACAAUGUAUAUUAUUUAUUAAACUCUUACGUUUUAUUGUGCUUUCUAUUCUGGCUUUGAAAUUUGGGGGCUAAGAAAAAGGUUGGGAUGUUCAUUGUUCAACUAAUUUGAGAUAUUAGACGAUAUUGAUGUAAUGAAAUUGGAAGAUGGUGUAAUUCAAAACAUGGUAAAGUCUCUGAUUUGUAUUCAUAAGUUGCAAUCCUUGAUUGUUUUUCAUUGUAUUGAGUUCUUUUUCAUAAUGUUGGCAAUUUUGACAAAUCUACAAUGAUUUUAACUCCACCAUAUCCAUACUUGGUCACCCAUGGAAGAAGUUUGAAAAGAUAAUUCAGCAAUUAUUUGAAAAUCUUUCCUCAUGUUGGGAACCAAAAUGAGGUACAAGAAGCAAUGUAAAGUGUACUUCAAACAAAACUUGAAUUGUACGAGUAGGGUUAAAAUAGUAAAUUCACUUUAUUCACUCUCUCACCUCUGCUUCUACUCUUUCUUCUAUGCCUGACAACUUUCAUGGCAAAUUGACAACCAUUUUAAACCUUCAACGGAGUUAAACUUUACUUCAGAGUCUCACUCCAACUUCUCAAGUUCUUUCAAUUGUUUACCUGGUAAGUAUUCUUGUGUGGUAUUGGUCCUCUUUUCAUGCGAAUCUUUACUCUUUUUUUCCCAUUAUUGUGGUUAUACUUCCUAUUAUUCUACUGAUUUUUCUUAUUUUAGGUCUUCCACAAUUUUUCUUGGAUUCUUUUGAGUUCUGAUAGAUGCCUCUUGAAAUAUAUGCAUAAUUUUGUUUUCAAUAUUUUGCAGUUUCUAGCUCUAAAAUACUAAAAAUAUUAGUAAAAUCUUCUUAUCAAUAUAUGAUACGUUUUGCAGAUAAUUAAUGACUUGAUGCGGUCGCAUGUUUGACGAAAUUUCCCGUGAAGGUAAGACUUGUGUAUUAUGAAGAGAGAUUAGUUAUAAGAGUAGAUUGUUUUGGCAGAUGAUUCAAGGUGCUAAUGAAGUUGAACGGUGGGCUUAGGUGAAUAGGCAUUUUCCCUUAUAAAAUCUUUUUUUCAUAUGGUAUUUUCCCCAAAAAAUAUUGAGAAAGAAUUUGAGUUGCCGAACUCUUUGACGCUGCCAUGAAAUUAGAAGUGAUAACGUAAUGCUGAAAAUUCAGGGUAAGCUUUCAGCAUUGAUCUUUUUGUUGUUUGAAUUACAUCUUCGAAAAAAAUUCAGCUACUAAUAUAGUAAGUUGAGGUGGUAUUCAAAGAAACAUUAUUUAAAUUACAAAGUCAGAAUAACAAGCAAGUUGAAUCAGGCGAAAAGGUUGAUUUCAGGCUCACCAAUUUCCAAGUCCUUUAAGGUACCAUUCCACAUUUUCUUAAGAACCUUUAAAAUUUUUGGCAAUAGACCGUGAUGUUGGUGUUGCAUUUAUUUUUAGCAGAUGUUCUUGGAUAAAAGCUGAAACUUUAAUAUUGAAAAUUCUGUUACUAGAUUGAGUUCUAGAAGUCUGUCAUAUGAUCUUAUGCUUUCUCAAAGUUUUUGUUUCAUGUGUUCAUAUUAGUUAGAUACAAUUGAUAAUGUUAAAAACAUUUUUCAUCUGAUCAAUGCAGAAAAAAAUGAACAUAAGAAAUCUAGCAAAUAAGUAAUAAUGUUGACGCUAGAAAAUUUUUGAGAAAUGAGAGAGUAAUAAAAUGUCCGGGUAAUGGAAGAAUCCUAUAAGACUAUUAAUUUAACGCAGAAACAAACUCUUUUCUUUAAUCUUGAGUUUGUUGCUCAAGAGUAGCUACUAACUCCUAAACUUUUUUAUAUCAUAUGUGAAACAGGAGUAGUAAUUUGAGUAUGCAAUAUAAUAAUAUUGUGUUAAGAGUGUUGUCAUAUGUUUCUUAUAGAGUAAUAUCGACUUCAUGUUUUCUCUUUUAUUUGUAGCAUAAUAUUCUUUCAUCAGAAUUUUGUGUCAUGAUCAUUAAUGGGUUCCUUGUGCUUUGCUUAUUGCAUUUGAAGGUUUGGCAAUGAAAUAGAUGAAAAAAUGGAGGUUUUUGCUUGGUCCAAGUAUGAGCUCUAAAAUGUCUGUGAUUAUCUUUCGCAAACAUUUUUUAGCUAAUUUAUUCUCACAUUCAUUUUUU